GGGAGAGAGAGAUAGAUAGGAGAAAGAAAGAAAAUGUGGGAGAAAGACAUUACGAUAUUGACAUUUUGAUCGAAAAAUGUGAUUGUUUUAAUUUUAUGGAAUUCAUUAGAAAUUUCACCUAUUUUGAUAAGAAUUGGAUUUAGUUGAAUUCAAUUCCAUAGAAUUGAAUUUAUGAAAUUGAAAUUGAAAUUGAAUUUUUUUUUUUUCAAAUCAAACAUGCAAAACAUGGAAUU
This 233-nucleotide unclassified non-coding RNA is filed under the name Hevea brasiliensis (rubber tree). The record is from RNAcentral. Lineage: Eukaryota; Viridiplantae; Streptophyta; Magnoliopsida; Malpighiales; Euphorbiaceae.